RNAcentral lists this transfer RNA (82 nucleotides) under Octopus vulgaris (common octopus). It matches the Rfam family "tRNA". From Rfam's summary of the family: Transfer RNA (tRNA) molecules are approximately 80 nucleotides in length. Their secondary structure includes four short double-helical elements and three loops (D, anti-codon, and T loops). Lineage: Eukaryota; Metazoa; Mollusca; Cephalopoda; Octopoda; Octopodidae. The record is from Rfam by way of RNAcentral. RNAcentral also lists the same sequence under 1 other name.
GGCACUGUGACCGAGUGGUUAAGGUGAUGGACUUGAAAUCCAUUGGGCUAUGCCCGCGCAGGUUCGAAUCCUGCCAGUGUCG